Molecule: ribosomal RNA, 305 nt
Filed under: uncultured bacterium
Lineage: Bacteria
Description: bacterial SSU rRNA
Rfam family: Bacterial small subunit ribosomal RNA
Source: RNAcentral
UUAUCCUACGGGGGGCAGCAGUGGGGAAUAUUGCACAAUGGGGGAAACCCUGAUGCAGCGACGCCGCGUGAGCGAAGAAGUAUUUCGGUAUGUAAAGCUCUAUCAGCAGGGAAGAAAAAAAUGACGGUACCUGAGUAAGAAGCACCGGCUAAAUACGUGCCAGCAGCCGCGGUAAUACGUAUGGUGCAAGCGUUAUCCGGAUUUACUGGGUGUAAAGGGAGCGUAGGCGGCGCGUUAAGUCAGAUGUGAAAUCCCGCGGCUCAACCGCGGAACUGCAUUUGAAACUGUCAGUCUUGAGUACCGGG